This 253-nucleotide ribosomal RNA is filed under the name uncultured bacterium. RNAcentral's name for it is "partial 16S ribosomal RNA". It matches the Rfam family "Bacterial small subunit ribosomal RNA", at positions 524 to 776 of the family's 1533-position model. The record is from RNAcentral.
UACGUAGGGGGCGAGCGUUGUCCGGAAUCACUGGGCGUAAAGGGCGCGUAGGUGGCGGGUCAAGCGUGCGGUGAAAGCUCGGGGCUCAACCCCGAGUCGGCCGUGCGAACUGGCCUGCUCGAGCACUGUAGAGGCAGAUGGAAUUCCGGGUGUAGCGGUGGAAUGCGUAGAGAUCCGGAAGAACACCGGUGGCGAAGGCGGUCUGCUGGGCAGUUGCUGACACUGAGGCGCGACAGCGUGGGGAGCAAACAGG